Molecule: ribosomal RNA, 484 nt
Filed under: uncultured bacterium
Lineage: Bacteria
Description: partial 16S ribosomal RNA
Rfam family: Bacterial small subunit ribosomal RNA
Source: RNAcentral
AUUGAACGCUGGCGGCAUGCUUUACUCAUGCAAGUCGAACGGCAGCGCGGGCUUCGGCCUGGCGGCGAGUGGCGAACGGGUGAGUAAUACAUCGGAACGUGCCCAGUAGUGGGGGAUAGCUCGGCGAAAGCCGGAUUAAUACCGCAUACGACCUGAGGGUGAAAGCGGGGGAUCUUCGGACCUCGCGCUAUUGGAGCGGCCGACGGCAGAUUAGCUAGUUGGUGGGGUAAAGGCCUACCAAGGCGACGAUCUGUAGCUGGUCUGAGAGGACGACCAGCCACACUGGGACUGAGACACGGCCCAGACUCCUACGGGAGGCAGCAGUGGGGAAUUUUGGACAAUGGGCGAAAGCCUGAUCCAGCAAUGCCGCGUGUGUGAUGAAGGCCUUCGGGUUGUAAAGCACUUUUGGCGGGAACGAAAAGGACUGUGCCAAUACCACGGUUCGAUGACGGUACCCGCAGAAUAAGCACCGGCUAACUACGUG